GAUGAAGAACGCAGCGAAAUGCGAUAAGUAGUGUGAAUUGCAGAAUUCAGUGAAUCAUCGAAUCUUUGAACGCACAUUGCGCCCCUUGGUAUCCCGAGGGGCAUGCCUGUUCGAGCGUCAUUUCACCACUCAAGCCUGGCUUGGUGUUGGGCGACGUCCCCUUUAGGGACGCGCCUCGAAACGCUCGGCGGCGUGGCACCGGCUUUAAGCGUAGCAGAAUCUUUCGCUUUGGAAGUCGGGGCCCCGCCUGCCGGAAUACCUACUCGUAAGGUUGACCUCGGAUCAGGCAGGGGUACCCGCUGAACUUAAGCAUAUCAAUAAGCGGAGGA
This 329-nucleotide unclassified non-coding RNA is filed under the name soil metagenome. RNAcentral describes it as "partial contains 5.8S ribosomal RNA, internal transcribed spacer 2, and large subunit ribosomal RNA". The stretch from base 1 to 120 matches the Rfam family "5.8S ribosomal RNA", at positions 35 to 154 of the family's 154-position model. The record is from RNAcentral.